ACAAAUUUAAAGUAAAUCUUGAUAAUAAGAAACUUUAUUAUUAAUUCAAACAAUCUAUAAAAAAUAUCGUACCUAUGUGCAUAUAUAUAAUGAAGCACGAUUUUAUAAACAACGUCAAUUAAAGUAAAAAGUAUAUAUAUAUAUAUAUAUAUAUAUGCAUAUGAUCAAAACGUUGCUACUGAUAUCAGUUAAUUUUUUUUAACCAAAUCGAUUAAAAAAAAAGAUUAAAAAAAAAUGAUUAAAAAAAAAUGAUUAACAAAAAAUGGUUAAAAAAAAAGAUUAAAAAAAAAUGAUUAAAAAAAAAUGAUUAAAAAUGGAGUUGUUAAAAAAGAGAAAGUGUUAUAGAGAGUUGUGAUAAAAAAAUAAAUUUUAGUUUUUAUCUACAAAAAAAAAAAAAAAAAAAAAAAAAAAAAAAAAAAAAGUGUCAAUAUUUGUUAAUGUGAUACCAAUUAAGAAACUUGAAAAUGAAGAAAAAAGGCACAAUUUAUUAAUAUACCUAUCCAUCUAUUUGUUUGUUUCUUUAUUUCAUUUUUUAUAGAUGUUAAUACAUUUAUAUAUUUUCAAAAAUUGAUAGAUCUAAAAAAUAGUCAAGUUUUCAAUAUAAUAUGGUAAAAAAAAAAAAAAAAAAAAAAAAAAAGAAAUUAUGCAAAGUAUACAAACAUCAUAUGUUUGUAACAUAUAUACUUGUAUAAGUACCUAUAAGUAUAUAUAAGCACAUAUAAACAUAUAUUACUAAAACGUGUUAUAAACAUUUAACACCGGUUAACAUGUUUUUUUUUGAUUUAAAACUAUGGAUAAUAUUAUUAUUAUUAAUAAUUUAAACUAUUAUUACCACAAUAGAAUAAAAAACACAAACACAAAAGCUCUUGAUAAUGUAAAUUUGUCAUUUAAACGAGGAAUGAGGAUUGUUGUAUGUGGAAAAAAUGGAGCAGGAAAAAGUACCUUACUAAGUAUUUUAGCAGGAAAGAAAUUAAUAAAUGAGCAAGAAGUUUUAAUUUUCAACAAACCUGUUUUCCAUGACACUUCAUUGUCAGACACAAUAGGAUACAUCGGUGAAUGGUGGAGCAAUGACUAUGCAAUGAAUAUAUCAAUAAAAAACUUUUUUAUUAAAUAUCAAAAUUCUAAAAGAUAUAAACAACUGUUAAAACUUUUCGAAAUUAAUGAAAAUAAAUUAAUUAGCAGUCUUUCAACAGGGGAAAAAAAAAAAAGUUCAAAUAUUAGUUAG
This 1225-nucleotide long non-coding RNA is filed under the name Piliocolobus tephrosceles (Ugandan red Colobus). RNAcentral's name for it is "lncRNA (ENSPTEG00000023292.1)". The record is from RNAcentral. Lineage: Eukaryota; Metazoa; Chordata; Mammalia; Primates; Cercopithecidae.